UGGGGAAUAUUGCGCAAUGGGGGAAACCCUGACGCAGCAACGCCGCGUGAAGGAUGAAGGUUUUCGGAUUGUAAACUUCUUUGAUGAGGGACGAACACAAUGACGGUACCUCAAAAACAAGCCACGGCUAACUACGUGCCAGCAGCCGCGGUAAUACGUAGGUGGCAAGCGUUGUCCGGAUUUACUGGGUGUAAAGGGCGUGUAGGCGGGUCUGCAAGUCAGAUGUGAAAUGCCGGGGCUUAACCCCGGAGCUGCAUUUGAAACUGCAGGUCUUGAGUGAUGGAGAGGCAGGCGGAAUUCCUAGUAUAGCGGUGAAAUGCGUAGAUAUUAGGAGGAACACCAGUGGCGAAGGCGGCCUGCUGGACAUUAACUGACACUGAUGCGCGAAAGCGUGGGGAGCAAACAGG
This 407-nucleotide ribosomal RNA is filed under the name uncultured prokaryote. RNAcentral describes it as "bacterial SSU rRNA". It matches the Rfam family "Bacterial small subunit ribosomal RNA", at positions 355 to 776 of the family's 1533-position model. The record is from RNAcentral.